CUCUGAUUGAGUACACAAAUGGAAUGGUGGUUCAAAAUAUAUGAAGAUAUCACAAGCGAGGAAGAAGCAAAGAGCUCGCUGCUGAUGGAAGCAGUAACGGUGACUGCUGCUAAUACAAAAAGGAGAGAGAGACAGAGAAAUGCAGAACAAAGCAGAGAAGAUGAUAACAACAGAGUGACAAAAGGAAGCACGACCGAAGAAGGAGAAGAAGGUGGCAACGACGGUGAUGGAUUGAGAAAGAAGGAGACUACGUCGAGAGAGAAAGGAAGAGGAUUGAGGUGACGACGGUGGUGGAGGCCACGACGCAGUGUCACAGUCGCUUCUUUACUGAUGGAGGCGCGGGUGCUGCAAAUGCGUCGAAGCAGUUCAUUACGACAUCGUUGUACAUUGGGGAUUUGGACCCUGAGGUCGAUGAGAACCUCUACGAUUUAUUCGACCACGUUGGACAAGUGGUUUCGGAAGUUCUCCGGGUGUUGUUGCAGAACAAAAGCGACCCCUUGGAUUUUUAUGCUGAAAGAAGAGAAGAGAAAAUGCUUAGUCCACAGAUGGAGGCAUUUGGUUUAGGCAGUUACUUGAACACUCGCUGAUUUGUGUGUGAACUGCUUUGAUGACAGUUAGUACAAUUGAUUCUGGGACCAAAGCUUUUGAAUUUUUGGCCUUGCGUGAGAAUGAUGAUAGCACCACAAAUACACCAUCUAUUUCUCCUAACAAUCAUCAGGUGGUCGCACCAAAGACAAAGGUUACUACCAGGAAUCAUUAACCAAGAAGCAUUCACUUUCCGUCUUCAUUUAAUAGCAAAUCAGGUUCAUUUUUUCCAGGACAGAAAUAUUGGUAGCCUUAAUCGGCAAGGGAGCAAUAAGGACCGCUAGAUAUCUAACGUCUUCAAGGAAUAUCACAGGUUAGUACAUUGAAAUCUGCUCAUUUUCUAUGGUACUCUUAACUAUUUGUUAUAGAACGUACAUCUUUGGGUCUGAGAAUUUUUUUUCCAAAUAACACUUUGAUCUGUUUGUAGAUGCAUUCAGGAUAUAAUACAUUGAUACAAUCUAUUAAAACCGAGUUUAGAUUGUAGUUUUGCCUUUUUUGUGAGUAGUGCAGUGUAUUCAAAUACAUUGUUAAUUGAGUAGGCCAUUUUUUAUAACUGGUAUUUUGACCCAUUUCUCUACUACAGCCAGCAUGAAUGUCUGUCUUUUAUAUACGUUGCAAUGGAAACUAUAUUUUCCUUUAGGAAGUAAUUGAAGCCCAAUAAUUCUGAUCUGAAAACACUUGAUUUAUGUGAUGCAAUCUUCAGCAAAAAUAGUUCUAUUGACUUGAAUAUAAUGUUAUGAUCCUUUCAGCUCCAACUUUAUUUGUGGUGUAGAAGUAUUUUAUAUAUUUCUCUAACUAAGAAAUAGUGAAAUAGCAACCUUUAAUGCCAUCUUCAAUUUCAAGUAACUCCCUACACUGUUUCCUUCUUUUCUUUGUUUCUAAUAUCAUCAUUAAAAGUUGUUCAUUUUUUAACAUUGUUUUAUUCCAGAUUUGGAAUAUCUUAAUAAGAUUCCAUAUUUUUCAUUAUUGCAUGUUUGAUUGGUGAGAAUUGAGAAUUGAGUUAGGUCUUUUUGUGCAGUGGAACAAAAUCUCAAUUAUCUUGGAGAGUAGAAAAAUCCUUCAUCAUUAGCUUUGUGUCCAGCAACUAAGAACUGCAUAUAAGAAUAUCACUCAUGCCAUUCAUUAUGCUUCUCCUUAGUAAAGUUGCUUUCUUUUUGUUAAUGUUAAUUUAACUAUCGGUUUUCAAGUGCUCUUUGGUAUUCUCAAUUAUCUUAUUUUUGUGCAUGUAUGUAUCAUCAUAUAGUAUAUAUA
Long non-coding RNA from Arachis stenosperma, 1836 nucleotides. RefSeq lists it as uncharacterized. Lineage: Eukaryota; Viridiplantae; Streptophyta; Magnoliopsida; Fabales; Fabaceae. The transcript is spliced from 4 exons. The record is from RefSeq and is a predicted model, not a curated record.